GCGCUCGUGGCUCAGCUGGAUAGAGCAUCGGACUACGAAUCCGAAGGUCACAGGUUCGAAUCCUGUCGAGCGUGCAA
Molecule: transfer RNA, 77 nt
Filed under: Deltaproteobacteria bacterium
Lineage: Bacteria; Pseudomonadati; Myxococcota; Myxococcia
Description: tRNA-Arg
Rfam family: tRNA
About the family: Transfer RNA (tRNA) molecules are approximately 80 nucleotides in length. Their secondary structure includes four short double-helical elements and three loops (D, anti-codon, and T loops).
Source: RNAcentral